GGCAAGGAUGUAAAAGAUGUAAAAAAAUACUCCUCUUAAUCCCAAGUCAAAAGCAGGAGGCCCCUUUUCUGUGAAGAGGACGAGGAAAAACACCACAAAAGUUGGAUCUUCAAACUGCAAAAGAACUAUUUAUUGCGUGGCCAUAGCAAUGAGAGAAAAACAUGCAUACAUGCAAUCAAAGGAUUUGUCCGAAUUUCCAAAAUGGUUGCGAGGGUUUUAUCACCUCCACAGAAAUCAGCAAGCAUAUCCUUAUCGGCUUACAAAUAUCAUUUACCCCAUUUGUCUAAUGUUGUCUACGUCACAAGCAUCUUAACCAUCAUGCAAUCCCAUUGGUUUUCUAUGCUGUAACAACAUGUAAUUCUUUAGACAAUGGUGCUUUCAUGUUAUUGACCCUGACUUGUUGCAAGUAUAUGCUCGAAAUCGUAUGGGAACCGGUUCUGACUUGAUGUAUUGUUAUUACAGUAGAGUCUCACUUAUCCAAGCUAAACGGGCCGGCAGAAGCUUGGAUAAGCGAUUAUCUUGGAUAAUACGGAGGGAUUAAGGAAAAGCCUAUUAAACAUUAAAUUAGGUUAUGAUUUUACAAAUUAAGCACCAAAACAUCAUGUUAUACAACAAAUUUGACAGAAAAAGUAGUUCAAUACGCAGUAAUGCUAUGUUGUAAUUACUGUAUUUACGAAUUUAGCACCAAAAUAUCAUGAUAUAUUGAAAACACUGACUACAAAAAUGGCUGGUUAAUCCAGAGGCUUGGAUAAGUGUGGCUUGGAUAAGUGCAACUCUACUGUAUUUGAAAGUAACUUCUUUUCUCUGGAACAACUCUUUUCCCAAACAUUAGCAAUUUCUCUCAAGCGCAGGCCUUCCUCAAAUAUAGGCCUUUUGCAACUUAGGUCAAUCAAAACAUAUGGGACUUAUAGUCAUUACAAGUAUCUUUGAAAAUUCUUUUUAAACCCACGUCUCCCUCAUACAAACACCACCUAAACUAUCAGUGAAAUCACAAAAUAUGGAAUCGGUAAUGAGUAUUAACUCCUUUCCUCAGGCAAAAGGCAAAACAAACACAAAACAAAUACUAUUCCCCGCUCCUUUCAACCAAAGCACACAUCCCCAAGAAAACUACACAGAAAAGGUGGAAACAAAAUGGCUGCCAACCCUCUGCUUCACUUCUGUGAGGGAAGCUUAAAAGGACCAACACAAAAUGGCUGCCAAGCAGCAAACCCCCUUUUGGCGCCAAAACGCCUCUACAAGUCAAAUAGCAGCUGGGAGCUCUGACUUUUAACUUUCUCAAACCCCUAAACAGGGAGAAAGCCUAUAAUGGUUUUAAAAAGACGGACAGAUCUUUACACUUAGAAAACCUGCUCUUUUCUCUCCCUCACACGCACACACACACACACAGCAGGGAGAGAGCUCAAUAUCUCUCUUUCAAUGAGUAAUCCUAAAAUGGCAGCAGGGACAAGCAGGAUACUUAUAUUGAAGAGGCAAUGAUGUAAAAGAUGUAAAAAUACUCCUCUUAAUCCAAAGUCAAAAGCAGGAGGCCCCUUUUCUAUGGAGAGGGCGAGGAAAAACACCACAAAAGUUGGAUCUUCAAACUGCAAAAGAACUAUUUAUUGUGUGGCCAUAGCAAUGUGACAAAUACAUGCAUACAUGCAAUCAAAGGAUUUAAUAAUAAUAAUAAUAAUAAUAAUAAUAAUAAUAAUAAUAAUAAUAAGGCCUUUGACACUUAAUUUGUUGUCGGACUGAUCUAUCUGCCCAUUUUAUAAUAGCCCCAUUCUCAAGGUGUUGCCAAUGUUAUAUUGCAUUUUGUCCAUUUCUACUGUGAAACUACUUUCCCCAUUUCGCCCCGUUUCGGCACAUUCUGCUCUUUGUCUGGGUUCUAUGAAUUAGUCUCCUGUGUUAAUAUUGUAUAUUUAUGUCGAUUUUAACGAUUGUUUUUACUGUAAUUGAUGUUUUAUUGGAUAAUUGUUUUAUUGCUGUGUUUUGAUAUUUGAUUGUUUUAUCGGGCAAGGCCCCAUGUAAGCCGCCCCGAGUCCCUUCGGGGAGAUGGGGCGGGGUAUAAAAAUAAAGUUAUUAUUAUUAUUAUUAUUUUCUAUGCUGUAACAACAUGUAAUUCUUUAGACAAUGGUGCUUUCAUGUUAUUGACCCUGACUUGUUGCAAGUAUAUGCUCGAAAUCGUAUGGGAACUGGUUCUGACUUGAUGUAUUGUUAUUAUUUGAAAGUAACUUCUUUUCUCUGGAACAACUCUUUUCCCAAACAUCAGCAUUUUCUCUCAAGUGCAGGCCUUCCUCAAACAUAGGCCUUUUGCAACUUAGGUCAAUCAAAACAUAUGGGACUUAUAGUCAUUACAAGUAUCUCUGAAAAUUCUUUUUAAACCCACGUCUCCCUCAUACAAACACCACCUAAACCAGGGGUCCCCAAACUAAGGCCCGAGGGCCAGAUGCGGCCCUCCAAGGUCAUUUAUCUGGCCCCCACCCUCAGUUUUAUAAUACAUUUUUAUAUCAGUUUUAAUAAUAUAAUAUACUAGCUGUGCCCGGCCAUGCGUUGCUGUGGCAAAGUGGUGGUGGUAUUGGUUAAAAAUUGUUGUAAUAUUUAAUGCUAAUAUUGUGCUAUGCUAAUAAUCUAUAUAUAUAAAAGAGUGAUGGAAUCCUGGCGACCUACAAAACAACAAAACUAAACACCCCACAACCUCGAAAAUUGACAGCACAACCCCUCAUCCACGCCUCUAGGUUGAUACAACAAAAAGAAAAGAAAAAUAAAGUCCUAAUUAGAGGGAGAGGAAUAAUUGUUUUUAUCCAAUUGCUGCCAGUUAGAAGGCGUAAGCGUCUGCCCACUUGGUCUCCUAGCAACCGACUCAGCCCAGGGGACAGGC
This 2857-nucleotide long non-coding RNA is filed under the name Anolis carolinensis (green anole). Its description in RNAcentral is "lncRNA (ENSACAG00000042807.1)". Lineage: Eukaryota; Metazoa; Chordata; Lepidosauria; Squamata; Anolidae. The record is from RNAcentral.